RNAcentral lists this long non-coding RNA (17422 nucleotides) under Glycine max (soybean). RNAcentral describes it as "long non-coding RNA (GMAX_LNC002462)". The record is from RNAcentral. Lineage: Eukaryota; Viridiplantae; Streptophyta; Magnoliopsida; Fabales; Fabaceae.
AUUCUAGAUACCUUCAUCUAUGAUAGGGAAGACUAUGAGACACCAUUACAUGAAAUAUGAGCUCAUAAACUUUUUGAAGAAUCUGAAAUCUACACUGAUUUUGGAAACCAAAAAAUUGAGUCUUGUGAUUCUGGGAAUCACUAAAUUAUGUCUGUUAUAUUUAUUUGAAUACACUGAGGUAUUGUUGUUUAUUUAAAUAUUUUAUUUAUUCAGAAUGUCAUGAAUUGUAAGUGUUUUAAUCUUAUUUUUAUUAGAGUAUACACACACACACAAAAUCUUAUUUUAAAUUCAUUAUGGAUACCAUGACUGAUUUUCGGAUUACAACGCCAGUUGAGAACAACAUUAUUUACAAAACUCUAAGUUUGUUUUAUUCACUAGGAUUAUCAUCUCAUUAAAAGUGUUGUUUUCAAAGCACAAGGAAGAAGUUUUUGGAAUUGAGGAGGCUUGAAAACUUAGUUACCUUUAAAUACAUUUUUAGCUUUGUUAGUACUCAGAAUAAUAUGUCGAAUGUGACUGAUUACGUUAUACUUUUAGUGUCGGUUAUUUUUAGAUACCUAUAUUUGAGAGUAAUAUUUUUACUUAUGUAAAGACUUAUUUAUUUGACUUUAUUUAUUAUACAUGAGGUAUUUUCGGACUAAUAUAAUUUUGAGAUUUUAUAUUCUUUUUAGUAUGAGUUGUUAUUUUAAUAAAGGCGUUAUGGUGGUUGUAGUAAUAGUGGUGAUUGUGGUGAUGAUAAAUUAAAUCUUUAAAAUAUUUAAUUUUCUAUUUGAUAAAUCUUAUAGAGAUUUUAUAAUUAAACGAGAAUUUAAUUUGAAUUUAAAAUAUUUUAAUCUUGACCUUACAUUUUAAUAUAAUGGAUGAGAAUGAUCAUUCUCAUUCUCACAUAAGAAGAUCAUUCUCACCUAAAACGUCCUUCGAUCUUUCUUUAUGUAUAUGAAACGUCUUCCUUUUUCUUUCUAUAUAAAGGGGAUUAACAACCAACACCAUAAAUAUUUGUAAAAAAAAAAACCCAUUGAAUUCCUUUGUCAUUAACUUUAAUGUAAGGAUAUUAUAAUAAUUUAUGUUUUAAUUUUAAUGUUUACGAGAGAGAAAAAAUGAUUGAUAAUUUAAUGCUUAGAGAAAAUUGUCUAAAAAUUAAUGUGGACAAAGAUGAGAGAAGAAAGAUAAAUAAUUAUUUUAAAAUUGAAUCAUAAAUUAAUAUAAUAUCCUUAAAUUAACUUAUUAUACAAAGGAAUUUAUUGAUUUUUUUUACAAAUAUUUAUGGUAUUCCUUAUAAAUACUUAAGUAUAAAAGUUAUAAUUUUUAUUUUAUAUCGAAUAAUGUGGAUUAACUAUUGACUUAUUAAGUUGAUUCCUGUCCUAAUAUUACGAUCGAAUAGAUUAUCAAUUCGAAUUCGAAUCUAAUAACAGUGCUCAAUAGCAACUUCAUCUAAUAUCUACAUGACAUGCCGCAUCAUUAAAAUUGAAAAUUUGAUCGGAUAUUUGAUCAAAAACAGAUCCAUACAAGUGAUAUCUUUUGAAAGAGAUCCAUUUUGGUAAAUAUUUAGAGAGGUAAAGGUCGAAGUAAAGGUAGAAGUAAAGAGACCCAUGUAAAAACUGACCCAAAUUGGUCAAAUAGCCGUUGUAAGUUAUAACCACGUGGAGUGGAGCAGCGACUGGUAAAGGUAGAAGUAACCAUAGCGAACGUCGUUUUAUUUCUUAUUCCCCACGUUUCAAAAAAACCGUGAAAUUUUCUUAAUCUGUUGGCCUUCUUCCACGAUUCCUCUGACCUUUCUUCUUCACUUUUAAUUUCUGGUCUUCGGUGAUACCCAAUCUAUCUUCCGUUCAAAUCCCAAACCCCCUUCGCAUCCAAUGCCCUAGUUUCGCUCCAUUCUCUCCGGUUCCUCCCCACGAUGUCCAGCGACACCUCCUUCGCGGACCGCAAGCUCUGCGGUUUCCUCUGUACGGUUCUCACACUCACUCCCCGCGACGACUCAGACACCACCGACAUACCCUUCCCCGAGCCAUGCGAAAUCUUCGGCGAAGGGGGCGAGGUCGGCUUCCGGACCCCGAACGGCGUCGUUCUGGGCCCGGUGCUCGAUUCGUUGCAAUGCGGCGGUGGCGGCGGUGGCGGCUCCAACAAGAUCAAGAGAAGGAACAAGAUUGGAAUGGUGAACGGGAGCGUGAGCGUGGUUCACCAGCUCCACGCCAUGGUCACUCGCAAGUGCGCCAGAAUCGACGCUCGCGUGGUGUGCGUUGAAGCGCUUCCUAGGGUUGUGGUGCUGGUUGACGUGUAUGUCCCCGUUCAGGUAUGGAGUGGCUGGCAGUUUCCGAGAUCGGGACCCGUCGCUGGCGCCGUUUUUCGCCAUUUGAGGUUAGCUUCUUCUUUCUCGCCUUCGAAUUCUUUGUAUUUAUGUUUAGGGAUUUAGUUACUAAUAACAUUGCAAUGUGUAGAGAAAGAUCACAUGAACGAUUUUGGUGAAUUCUGCAUAAGUAAUAGUUUGCCAUACUGUAGUUGUUUGAGGUUUUAAUUUUUAAACUGUGGUUGAGUGGUAUUUAUUGGUGUAUGUUUUGAUUAAAGUUUGAAAUCAUAGUGUAGCGUGGUUUUACAGUUUGAGCAAAGUUUUUGAAAUUCUGCACUACUUAGUCCUUUGACAGUUAGUCAGUUACCAUGCUAAAUUUGGCAUUUUUUAAAAAAAAAAUAAAAUUAAGGAAAUAAAUAACUAGUUUAGCUAGAUGUCAUGGUUUUAAUUGAAGGACUACAAGUACAUACUACUAGAGAUGGUGUAACUGUUUCAUGUGAUGUUGUCUGCGAUUUGAAUCUUUGGUUAUCUUAUUGCUUGUUUGGUCACGUGUGUUGGUGUGUAUUUAUGUGUAAAUCGAGAAGCUGUGAAUUGUAGCUUUCAUGUUAUUCUACAAUUUGACAUGAGAUUUUACAUGUAUAACAUAAAUCUGAACAGACUAUAAAUACACUAUAAUUAUUUAGUGGUGUGGAUGAGAUGGAAGAUAGUUGUAACCUAUGUAACUGAUGUAAUGUUCUUGCAAGGGUAGUUGCCGGAUUCUUUUAGCUACUCUGCAUACUAGAGAGUAGAGACUAUUGCCUUGCAAACACGGUAACUUUGUGGUCACAUGUUUCAUUCCUGAUGGGUUAUAUGAAUAUCAUGACAAUUAUUGAUGCAUUGUGUUGAUUUGCAAAAACAUUGUUUUUUCUCUUUUGUACAAGAUGAGAGAAAACUCAACAUUUCUUUCUCUUUCCAUUUCUAUUUUUAAAGGGGGGGGGGGGGGGGGGGGGGGGGGGGUUAAAAUGCAUCUCAGAUCAUAAGAUCCUUCCUAAAAUGCAAAUACAUAACUCAUAAUAAAGAUUAAAAUUCAAUACAUAACACUCAACUCAAAAUAGGUUCAUAAGUCAUAACAUAACUCAUAGUAAGUUCAUAUUACUUAAUACAUGCACACUAAACUAGGAGAUCAUUCAAAUUAAAAUCAGGAAAGUCAUCUGUCAUCCUCCAGAUGAUCUUCGUCCUCUUUAAUGGCAUUUCCUCUACCUUCAUCAUCAUCAUCAACAAUUGGAGGAACCUCCAAAUCAUCUACUGGUGCACCACCACCUACUAGCUUCUUCUCCUGCUUCAACUAAGAUAGCUUCAUCUAAAGCAUCCAAUUCUAAAUUUGCUUCGUUCUCCACCACAACCCAUUCUUCAUCAGAAGCUUUGGGGGAAAGUUUCAAAAGAAUUUAUAUGAUACAUUGGUAAAAUAUGCAUUCUUAGCUAGUUUCGUAUUACACUACAAAUUGAUCAUUUUAUCAAACCUAAUACCAUCUCUAACAUGAUCAUACAAGAUCACUCACUGGUUUUAUUCUCGGAAUUCUGUAAACAAUAAAUUAAAUUGUCUGCCUUCAUUUUCCUGUGUGAAUAUACUUAACGGAUGUCUUUGGCUGUCUUAGUUAGCUAAUAGCUAAAUGUUUAUGCAGCUGUGAUUGGAAUGAGAGACGUUCAAUGCUUUCAUAUCCAGACUAUUGUAGGAAGACUUAUGGAGCAAAUGAGAGCAUUUGGAACCUUUCUGAUUGUCAUGUACUUGGUUGCAAGCUCCAUUCCGGUGUGAGCAAUUCUUCAAGGAAAAUACUAUUUCAACUUCAUGAAAUUUUUAAGGCACUACCUGGUGUAGGAAAGCGGCAGACAUUUAAUAGUUCCAAGAUAAUACCUAUGGAUAACAUUUGCAGAUCAGGCAUUUGGGAGUUAUCUGAUGAUAUUUUAACUAAGAUUUUAGCUUCCCUGGGCCCAAUGGACCUCACUAGGGUUUCUGCAACAUGUCAUCAUUUAAGAUCCUUGGCUGCUUCGGUAAUGCCUUAUACCAAGUUAAAUCUGUUUCCUCAUCAGAGGACAGCAGUUGAGUGGAUGUUGCAUCGUGAGCGAAAUGCUGAGCUUUUGCCACAUCCGUUAUUUGUAGCUCUCUCAACUGAAGAUGGCUUUAGUUUCCAUGUAAAUACUGUAACUGGUGAUAUUGUUACUGGGGAAGCUCCCACCGUCAAGGAUUUUCGUGGAGGAAUGUUUUGUGACGAGCCUGGCUUGGGUAAGACUGUAACAGCUCUCUCUCUUAUUAUGAAGACGCGAGGUACAUUGGCAGACCCGCCAGAUGGGGCACAAGUAGUCUGGUGUCAACAUAAUGGUAAUCAGAAAUGUGGAUAUUACGAGGUCAGUGUUAGUGGUAAUCACAUCACUGGUUGUACUACCUUGGGUAAGAGGGAUGUGUGCCAAGAUACCAGCAGAACUAAUGAUAACCAUGAUUACUCCUCCAAAAGAGCCAGAUUGAUAGAUCCUGAUCAGCAAAUAACUAAACUUCAUGAUUCAUGUUCCAGGGAAGAAAACAAAUCACCUGUUGAUGCAUGUUUCAAGGAAUCUAUGCAUUCAAAUCAGUUCACUGGGAGUUUGAGUCGCAUAAAGAAAAAUCUACAUUUCACAUUUGAAGAUGAAGCUAUGAUUUCCAAGGAAAGAGAAAUUGGUGAAGGAUUAAUUAAAGCAAAGCAUGCAUUAGAUGUUACAUCUCAUGUAUCUCAAAACAAGUCGCCUGGGAAGCCUAAAGGUGACUGUUUUGAGUACAAUGAUACAUGGAUUCAGUGUGAUGCUUGUCACAAGUGGCGAAAGCUUGUAGACAAUAGUAUGGCUAAUUCUAGUGCAGCAUGGUUUUGUAGUAUGAACACUGACCCUCUGUAUCAAAGUUGUAGUGUCCCUGAACAACAUUUUCAUAAUAUCUGUAAGAUAACACACUUGCCAGGGUUUCAUUUGAAAGGAACUUGUGGAGGUGAGAAACAAAAUGUUUCUUUUUUCACUAGCGUGCUUAAGGAGCACUACUCCUUGAUAAAUUCUCAGACAAAGAAGGCCCUGACGUGGUUGGCUAAAAUUUCAACAGACAAGCUUGCAGGAAUGGAAACAAAUGGCAUCAGGGGUCCUAUUUUAAACAUUUGUACUGCAUCUAAUAGACAUUUCCACAAAAUAUUUCAAGCAUUUGGCCUCUUAAAGAGAGUAGAGAAAGGUGUUUGCAAGUGGUACUACCCUCAACAUCUUAACAAUUUGACUUUUGAUGUGGCUGCCCUUGGCAUGGCUCUCCGUGAACCAUUAGAUUUUGUUAGGUUAUACUUGUCAAGAGCUACCCUGGUAGUUGUUCCAGCAAACUUGGUUGAUCAUUGGAAAACGCAAAUAGAAAAGCAUGUGAGGCCUGGUCAAUUGCGGGUUUAUGUUUGGACUGAUCAUCAAAAGCCAUCUGUGCAUUGUCUUGCAUGGGAUUAUGAUGUUGUCAUAACUACUUUUAGUCGUUUGAGUGCAGAGUGGGGCCCACGUAAGAGGAGUGCUUUGAUUCAAGUGCAUUGGUUUAGGAUAAUUUUAGAUGAAGGGCACACUCUUGGGUCAAGCCUGAACUUAACAAACAAGUUGCAAAUGGCUAUUUCAUUGAUAGCUUCAAAUCGAUGGAUACUAACAGGAACUCCAACGCCUAACACUCCUAACAGCCAACUUCCUCAUCUACAACCAUUGCUAAGGUUCCUUCAUGAAGAAUCUUAUGGACUGAAUCAAAAGUCAUGGGAAGCUGGUGUGCUUAGGCCAUUUGAAGCAGAGAUGGAGGAAGGGAGGUCUCGUCUGUUACAUUUACUUCAAAAAUGCAUGAUUAGUGCUAGAAAGAUAGAUUUACAAAGCAUUCCACCAUGCACGAAGAAAGUUGUUUAUCUAGAUUUUAAUGAGGAGCAUGCUAGGAGUUACAAUGAAUUGGUAAUCACUGUACGACGUAAUAUAUUGAUGGCUGAUUGGAAUGAUCCUUCACAUAUUGAGAGUCUACUGAAUCCAAAACAGUGGAAAUUUCGUAGUGCAACUUUAAAAAAUGUGAGGCUUUCAUGCUGUGUUGCUGGACAUAUUAAAGUUACACAUGCUGGAGAAGAUAUUCAAGAAACAAUGGAUAUGUUAGUACAAAGUGGUCUGGACCCUACUUCAGGAGAGUAUACCUCCGUAAGAUAUAAUCUCUUGUAUGGUGGUCACUGUGUCAGGUAGUACCUAGGUUUUAUUCUUUCUUGUGGCUUUAUUUUUCUUCUGGUUGUUGCUGUUUAUUAAUUUUUUUCUUAAUAAAUUGUGAAGGUGCAAGGAAUGGUGUCGCCUUCCACUCAUUACCCCAUGUCGGCAUCUGUUGUGCCUUGAUUGUGUUUCUAUAGACAAUACCAAGUGUACUUAUCCUGGCUGCAGUAAAUUGUAUGAGAUGCAGAGUAGAGAGGCCCGACCUGAAAAUCCUAAACCGAAGUGGCCUGUACCCAAAGAUCUUAUUGAGCUACAACCUUCAUAUAAGCAGGCAUGGUUAAUGGAGAACUCAGUUAACAUUCAUCUUUUUUUCCCUCUUUCUGGUUUGCAAUGCUAACAUGCAAUGUUGAUUAUUUAAUACCCAGGAUAAUUGGGAUCCUGAUUGGCAAUCUACAUCUAGUAGUAAAGUCUCCUAUCUCGUCCAGAGGUUGAAAGCUUUGCGAGGAACCAAUGAAGAGACAUACUUCAAUACAGAAAAUAGCAAUGAUGAUUUGCAUAUUGAGAAUAGUUUGCAUAGAAGUGAUGACAAAUCAUCAAUUCAGACAUGUUCUAUGAGCAGCACUAAGACCAAUUUGAACCCUGAGAAAGUUCUGAUAUUUUCUCAAUUUCUUGAGCAUAUACAUGCCAUUGAACAGCAGGUACAGUUUUAUGCCGCAUUUUGUGUGUGAUCUUUCAUGAAUUGUUCUAUUUUAUUUUUUGGCAUCUGUGAAUUCUUUUGCAAAUGAUCAAACUAUUAAAUUGGAUUUCUCUUUGGCAGUUGACUAUUGCUGGUAUCAAAUAUACUGGAAUGUAUAGCCCAAUGCAUUCCAGCAACAAGGUAUAAUGCUGGAAUUUUCUUUUACUGUUUCUUAAAAUUAAAAUUUACUUUUGGUUUCUGACCGUUGGUUAAUUUGCCUUUUCCUUUUCCAGAAGAAGUCAUUAGCCAUGUUCCAGCAUGAUUCAAAUUGUAUGGCACUUCUGAUGGAUGGAAGUGCUGCAUUGGGUCUUGACUUGAGUUUUGUUACGCAUGUAUUUCUAAUGGAGCCAAUUUGGGACCGAAGGUUAAUAUAUCAAACUAAUAUAAUUUGCAAACAAGAAUAUAAAAUUAAUUUUUUAUUGCUUUUAAGACUGAGGGAUAAAAUGAUUUUGAGAAAUUUUAAAAUUCUACAUUAUUUAAUUUUCUUCUCAAGUUGAGCAUAGUAAAAUUUUCUGUGAACUUUCUGUGUGGCUAAUAUGCAUUGUCAAUACUGAACUUUUCUGUUUUGGGAUUUAGCAUGCAAACUGGAACCAUGCUGCAUAAAGUGACUGGCAGUGUAUCUCUUGGUUUCCCAAUUUGCUGGAUCCUUCUACUUCAACCGAAAUUGGCAUGUUUAUCCAGUUUAAUUAUUUUCUAACUUGACCAAAAUGUUUUCAGUAUGGAGGAGCAAGUAAUUAGUCGUGCUCAUCGUAUGGGUGCUUCUCGUCCUAUUUAUGUGGAAACAUUAGCAAUGCGUGGUACAAUUGAAGAGCAAAUGCUAGACUUUUUACAGGUAAAUCUCUAUAAAUUGAACUAUCUUACACCUAUUUGAGUGUACUACUAACAAUGAUGGGUCUCUUUGAAGGCCUUGUUAGUUUAUGUUGUCGUUCAUGUAUGUCACUGAAAAUUGUCUCCUCAAUGUCUUUUGUUUUGUUUAGCUUUUAUAUUGUUGUUGUUGUUCAUCUUUCAAUUUGUUGAUGGUUUAAGCAGGAUGCUGAUAACUUUAGAAGAUCACCAAUUAAGGAUGCUACCGAAUCUGUUGAUGAUAGUGGGGGACGAGGAUAUAGAUCAUUGCAUGAUUUUGCUGAGAGUAGUUAUCUACUGAAACUUAGAUCUGUGUAUACUAAUUUGGAAAGUCCAAAAGGUUUGUACAUACAGUUUUUCCUUAACUGUUUUUUGUUAGCAAACAUAGAUUCAACAGAAAGAUGAGUGAUAUUGCAUUUGAGAAAUUGAAUGCGAGUAGUUUUUAUGACUUCUAUUCCUUAACUGUUUAUUUGAAAUUUUUGCCUGAAACAAAAAGUAAAAAGGUUAUGGUUAUGUUUUCGCCUAAACUGACUAAUAAGAUGCUUUAAAGUUUAUAAGCCACCAGCUAAAAGUUUAUAAGCUUGCAUAUUAAAUUAUAAGUGUUUUGUAAAAUUAUUGGAAUAGUUGGUAAAUGUAAAAUAACAUAAACAUAUUGUAUAACUGUUUUAUGUGAAUUCUAUUUUUGUUUUGUAGUCAAAAACAUUUAAUUAAAAGCUAAUUAAAUAGUUCUGUUAAAGUAAAUACUAAAAUAUUAUAUGAAAUAAAUAACCCAAAAAUUAAUAAAAAGAGAAAAGUAAUUAAAAAAUAGUUACAUAUGAACAAUGUUGAAGAACAGAUCGAGGGUAAAGGUAUAUUAAAAUAGUAAGGAUAUAAAGGAAGGAAAAAAUAAACUACAUGCUUAUAAAUUAUAAGCUACCUGAAGUAGCUAUAAGUUAGUGAAAUAUACUUGUUUACCAAAUACCUUAAUUUGGUCAAACAAAGCUUACAAUGUAGUCAACUAAGUUACAAGUUUGCUUAUUGGACAUGCCAAACACACUAGAUGUUUGGAAGUGAUAAAGCUGUUGAAAUCCUACUAUGAUUUUCUUUUCGAGUGAAAGAAUCAAGUGAUACUUGCAUUGCUCAAAAGUCACAAGUUAUUGUCAAUUCACUUGGUGAAUUUUGGUUAAAUGAAAUAUUGUACUCCCUUCGUCCCUAAAUAUUAGACUCUUUUAAAUGAUUCACACCCUUUAAGAAAGUUAGUUAAUAUAUUUAAUAGUAUUAAAAUUGUUAACAAUUUGUUUUAUUUUGCCAAAGUUACCCUUAAAAUUAUUGGGACUCAUAUCUUUCCUUUCACUUAAUUACUUCCCCACUUAAUUAAUUAAUGUGUGUUAAUCUUAUCUAAUCCUUAUAAGAGAAAUAAUGAUUUAUCUUUUUAGUACAUAACAUUUAUUGUAAAGUAAUUAAGAGUAUUUGGAUCAAAAUAUAAUUAAUGCAAAAGACAACUUGAAACAAACAUAAUUGAAAAAAGACUCUUAUAUUUAGGGACGAAGGAAGUAUGUCCGAGCACUUUAAGCCUGUUGAAACUGAUGGCAUGCUCUGACCCCUCUGAAUAGGACACCCUCUCCUCUCAACUUUCCCUUACCAAAUUGUAUGUUUUUUGAAAAUGAAUUUAGGAUAUGCACUUGCACUUGAAUGAAUUCUUUUACUUUUCUUUAUUAACUUGUUAAUUUAUUUAUUUUUUUAGAAUAUAAUUAGAAUGUAUUGAGUUACACUGUCUUCCAAUAUGAAUAGUCAUAUAGGUGAAAGUUGUUGACUUUUAAAAGUCUAUCUAGAAUGAUUUCUAAUUAGUUGAUAAUGUAAAAAUCUUUAUACUAUCACUAUCUUAAUUAAACUCUUGUGAUAAUGACUUUUUUAUCCGUUUUUACUUCAGGUGUUUGAUUGAUCAACAUCAAGCAAGUACUGACUAAUUUACUUGGAGCAAGUCCUGUGUACAUUUUGCAAGUUUGCAUGCUCUUGAAUAUGGUUUUACUUUUUGAGUAUAUAGUCUUACAAGUGCUCAUCUAAUGAAAGAUGCUUCCAUAUGCAUUGGAGAGUGGAAACUAUUCUUUUUGUGCAGAUUAUGGAGCUAUUUGCAGCGUCGCUUCUGUUUGCCAGUGAUUAAUGAAAUACCGGAAGUGUCCCUGCUUAUUCUUAUGUAAAGGAUUUAGUCUAGUUGAUUUGAUGUGAUCUAGUAGGCAAUUUGGAGUCAAGUAUUCGAAUUGAAAUAAAAUGUUGAGUUAUUGGAAAACAAGUGUUCUCCCACACCCUUUCUCUUAACAGUAGGUAAUAUUGAAAAAUCAUAAUAACCCUUGCCCCCUAAAAUUGGUGAUAUCAUGUAUGUUCUUAUGACUAUCGAUUUCAUUAUAUGCAGCUAAUAUUGUAAUUAUUAGCAAUGAUCCCAGUGCUUAUUAGUCAACAGAAAUUUCAAGAUAUAUUAGCAAUUUGAGGGAGAAAAGGUUUCUGUUCAAUUUAUUCUCAUGUUAGCCUGGGUUUUUAAUUGAUUAUUAUGCUUUGUAGGUUUGUUCAUUUAGUCAUUUGAUUUUGUUGGUCAUUCGGAACGACCACCUGGAUAGUGUAGAAGUUCAAUUAGUUAUACAAUAGGAUAUAAUAUAUAUGGAUGGAGAGAUAAUGAUAAAGAUAGAUGGAUGAAUGGAUAGAGGUAAAGACAGAUGGAUAAUCUUGGAUUAAAUUUAAUUUUGGUUACGUAUGAGUAGAAACUCCCAAAUUCUAUAAUUGUAUUCACUCACAAGUUCUACUCCCAAAUUCAAUAUUCACUCACAAGACACAAGUUGAUUAUUAUGGGACAACAUAAGGGGAUAGGAUUACCUCCUAGGGGAGGAAAGAAAUUAAAAGUUAAUUUUCAAAAUAGUAACCAACCUCCCCGUAUCAAUGUGUUUUUUCACGUUAAAAAGGAAAAAUAAAUAUCACCAAUCAUGCUAUAGGCCUCAAUUUAGCCCAAAAUAUGCAGACAAGUCUAAAAUCCAUAAUUAACUAAUAAAAAUGGUCCUAAUGUAUUCCAAGCUUGAAAUCAAGAAUCGACCAAUCAAAAUAUUCUUAAAUAAUUACAGGUUCAAUUUAGGACUUAAUGACAAUACAAAAUCCAUACUUAAGCUCAAAAUAUUUGAUUUAAUCUUUCAAUCAAGUCCAUAACGACUCAUGGAUAGCUAACACCAAAUUGGAUGAAUUUCGACAAUUAGGUUUUUCAUAACUUCUCUAACUCUCUUGACGCUUUUGUCAUUAGAUACAAACCACAAAUGGUUCAAUUGUAAUUUGUCUUUGGUAUAUUGAUAGGUUCAAUAUUAUUUUUUUCCGUUCUUUCACUCCAAAGAUUGAAGGAAAAAGAAACUUUAUGUUAAAAAAAUGUAACUUAAAAUUAUAUUUUCUUUUCAUCCUUUGGUCUCUUCUGCUUCUAAUAUUAUCCAGAAAUAAUGAAUUGAGUUCAUAUAAACAUUUUGGAUGCUGCCAUUGAAAUAGUGGUUCUUGCUAUAUUUCACAGGGCCUCACCCAUUUUAUAAAGUAUUUUUUUCCAUGUUUAAUGAUAGUUAAAAAAUAUUCGAUAGUAGUAGUAGUAGUAAAUUUGCUAUAAUUUUGACAAAAAAAUGAGUAUUUUAUUAAACUCACUACAAAUUUCAUAGAAAAAUUUAUUUUUUUCUGCACAAUUUCUUACAAAAUUUGUUUUGUAUUAUAAACUUACAUAUUUUUUCUCAAAAAAAUUACAAUAAAUUUUCCAUUUUUUAAAAUCAGUACCUUAUAAUUUAUUUUUUUAAAAAAAUACCUUUAAGAGUGCUACUAAAUUUCCUUAAAUUCACUAAGAAAUCAUAAAAAAAAUAGUUUUUUCUGCAAAGUUUUUUUUACGAAAUUUUUUUUGUAUAAAAAAAAUUCUUUUAGAUUUUCCAAAAAAAAAUUACAAAUAAAUUUUCCAUUUUUUAUAUAUUCGGUACCAAAUAAAUUGUAAGAAAAACCUUAGGAGUGCUAUGAAAAUAAAGUAAGGAAAAUAUAUUUUAAUAUUAUAAAAGUCAAUUAAUUAAAAAAAUAGUUAAUAUUUGAAUAGUAUCGCUAAAUGCUUAAAAUUAACUAUAACAAAUGAUAUUAUAUAAAUCAUUAUUUUAAUUUGUAGAUUAUAGAUUAUUUUAGCCGUUUCAAUUUGGUUUUUCUCUGCCACUUCCAAAUAUAAUUGAAUUUUCAAAAGUAUAAUUUACUUAUAUAUAUUUUUAUUUGAAUAAAUUUUGGAAGAAGAGAGCUAGGUUAAGAUUAAUGUCUGUCCUUACUUAAAUCCUUUCUAAAAAAGGAACAAUUUAUGAGUGAAAAUUAAUAAGCUUAAACAUUUUAGUCUCAAGAUUGUCUCUAAAUAAAAAUAAAGCAUUUCUAAUUUAAUUGAAUGCAUGUACAUAAGUGAAAGCUACCACACGUAGUUUUGGAUUACAAGGUGUUUAUAGUCCGACAGUUUCUAUGUGAUACAUAAUUGAGUUUUUCAAUUUACUAAAAAAAUUAAUAAUAUUCCCUUAUGUGUCAUAUUAACAUAGAUUGAAAUCAUAGUGGUCCCUAAUCAUAUGCAGAUAAGGCCUCUUGAUGCCAAGACCUUUAAGUAGCUGCCUAUCAUUUUGGAAGCAUGUGUAGUAGGAGGUAUUUCUUAGAAUUUGACAUCGAUGUUUUAAGAGAAUCAGAUGAGUCAUCAAACUGAUAAAGAUAAUGGAUUAAUAGGUCACUAAUCAGAUCAAAAUUUCAUUAAUCAAACUGGUUUAACUUGAUAUAUAUUAAAAAAAUUAUAAAAAAUAUAAUUAAUUAAUUUUAUUUAAUCAUUCAAUACUCUAAAUUUAAAAUGAUUGUCGUUAUAAAAUACCUAAUAUAUCAAAUAGUCAUCAAUAUUCAUGUCAAUGCAACUUUAUAAAUAAGUUUCAAAUACAAACAAACAUUCAAUGUGUUAAAAAUAAAAUUAAGUUUACAAAAAAUUUAUAUAUAUAUAUAUAUAUAUAUAUAUAUAUAUAUAAAAUAACACUUGAUUCAAUCAAAGACUCAAUGGAUUUAACCUGGACUACACCAAUUCUAAUAUAUUUACGAUCCCGACCGGUGUGUUUAUUGGAUUCCGAUUGAAUUCUGUCCAAUCCGAUUCUUAAAGCAAUGCGUGACAUGCGUCCAAGUUAACCUAUUUUGGUCGAUGGUGGAGGGGAGCGAAUCUUCCGCUCAAUAAUGCAUUUACUUGACCAAUAGUGUUAGUAAUGCAUGCUUGAUUUCUUUAUGCAAGAUUUUGAUUCUGGGCUUUGUGUAUAACAAUAAUUUCUAAUAGAACAUUUAAUCCCAUUAUAUUCUGAAAUUUACACAAAAGCUGAGUUCUAAGAUGGGUUCUGCAAUUCACAUACAUUGUUGCUGAAAUCCAGCAUCAGUACUUCAAAUUCCACUUGUCAUGCUUGAUUACGACGAACGAAUGCCGACACUACGCUGGCUUUGGACCAUAAAUUUAAGUAAAUAAUUAAAACCAGCGUUUUUAAGUUACACACUCAUCAUAUAAUGUGGUCUUUAACAUCUUGAUUGUGACACUACACAUGCUAUAAUUUGCAUGUAUAGUGAUGCAAUUUGACCGUAGAAGUAAUUUUAACGUUACUAUUAAAUCCUUUUUUCAACUUGCCAAGGCUUGUGGGGUUGUCGCAUUUAAUAUAAACAUGUCUUGAAGUUUCUCACAAGAUAAGGAGUGUCCCCUCUCAUUGAAAUUUAUAUCGAACUUUUGACUUUUCAAUAGAAAAGCAUGAAAUUUAUUGAAUUUGAAAUUUAAAAAAUGUUUUUUUUAACCGAGAGACAUUGAAAUAUUUUAUUUGUCACUCAACUAAUUUUCUUUUAUCAUAUGGUCCCAUUUUAAGAUAAAAUAAUAUCUUUAAUUAUAACUUAAUUCUCAAGUUAGAGAUCAAACAUUAUACCUUAAUUAGUUAAAAAUCCAACUGUGUGAAAUCACUUCUAUCAACAACGAAUUUUGGCCCAUCUUGUGCUAACAACUAAGUUGUUAUUAAUUACUAUACAGAUUGCGUCUAGGUUCUUCAUUUACAAUACCAUGGGACCUAGGAGUCUCAAUCCCUUUUGAAUAAUCCACACCAAACUUUGGCAUAUAAUACAAUGACAAAGCAAGUCAUUAAUGACCUAGAUUGAGACCUAGCACCUACACCGAGCCCUUACUAGUAUAAAAACCGAACACUAAGUGUGAGUUAUGCACACCAACACCAAAACAAACCCACUAAGAUGGCUUCCUUUGUAUCCUUCCUAGUGCUGCUUCUUGCAGCCCUUAUCCUCAUGCCUCAAGGGCUUGCUACUUACUACAAACCAAUUAAGAAGCCACCAGUGUACAAGCCUCCAGUGUACAAGCCACCAGUGUACAAACCACCGGUUUAUAAGCCAAAACCACCGGUUUACAAGCCGAAACCACCGGUUUACAAGCCACCAUAUAAGAAGCCACCAUACAAGAAACCACCUUAUGGAAAGUACCCUCCAGUAGAGGACAACACCCAUGCCUAAAGCAAGCAAUGAGGUCUAUUAUCUACUUAAUAAAUAAGAGGAACUGCUUUGUGUUUUCUAGCAUUGUGACUUACAACUUCGUAGCAAUGCAUAUUCUUGACUCUUGCAUGCACUUCAAUCCUUCGUAGCAUUAAUGAUGUGGCCAAGUCAUCAUGAGCAUCAUACUUAUUUCUUUGUGAAUGUAAAUCAAAAUUAUAAGAGAGAAAAUGGUGCUUUUGUACUACAGAUUACUAUAAAUAAAAAACUUUUAUGGUUUUCAGAUUGUGCUGGUUGAUUGAUUUGCUCUACCAUUAAUUAUGACGAAACGUAGUUUUUUUUUUUCUCUUUUUUAAUCCGUAAAAAUAAAAAAAAUAAAAAAAUAAAUUUAUAAUAAUUCACACUUUAUUUAAUUAAUCGAAAUAAAUUCCAUAAUAGAUGAUACAUAGUUUGACAUACUAUUGUUAAGCUUAAGAUUAAAGAUCGACCCUAUGUUGCAACUAAACUUUCUACAAUCAAUUUUAUAAAUUGGAUUGGUGCAUGUAAGUCUAGCUAGCUAGAGGCAGAAGAACAGUACUAGAGUAGUAGAUGGAAGCCACUCUCCACGCACCUCAAAUAACUCGCAAUUAAACUUGAGCAUAACAUCAAUAGCGACUUAAGUUAAUUUCAAUUAUGGGCUCUAUUUGAACAAAUUUCUCUAUAAAUAUUUCCAGAAGAAAAUAUUAAGAAAACAAUAAAUUGAACUUCUCAUUUAAGUUAAAAUAAACAUAUUUGUAUAUUUUUUAUAUAAAAACUCUCAUUUAACUUCUCUUAAAAAUAUUGAAGUAUAUAAAUUAAUUUUAGCUUAUGAAAAAAAAAAUCAACUUAUUUUAAUUUUCUAUUCUUAAAAAGCCAUAGUUAUAGUUAAUGUGUACAAAGACCAGUUCCUACGAGAGUUGCUGUAUCCUCCUAAACCAAAUAUCCGAAUACUCCUACUCAGUAAGAAUAUUUUGAUAUCUGUUAAUAAUUUUAUAAUAAAUUAUUUAUUUAAUUUGACAUUUUAAUAUUUAAUUUCUUUCCAAGUUUACCCCUUUUCCAUAUGACCAGUCAACUUAUCCUCUUCAUUCGACUUUAAAAAGAGUGGGUGGUGGUGCGGUGAAGCUGAAAACCACACACAAUGAUGGUGGUGGAGAAUGUGAAAAUGGUUGUGGUCGGAGAAGGAGGUACAAGGGACAAAGUUAACUGAGGAAAAAAAAAACUCAGCGUGAGAGAGGGUCUUUUGAAAAAAAGGACAAAUUUGGAAAGGAGAAAAAAAGUUAAAAAGUGUGUUAACAAGUGUGAAUGCUUAGGUGAUUCAGUUACUUUUUCGCCACAUAUGAUCGGAGGAAUAAACAUUUCUCUUUUUCAUAUUACUAUUUUUGUAUGUUUGUCUACACGUACAUGUGGACGGUUAUUUGUAUCAAGUAUCAACUACAUAUGGGUGUCAAAAUUUAAAACUGAACCGAAUUUAAUGAAUUGAUUCAACAACUCUAAUAUAUAUGUGAUGUGAUUUGAAUUUUAAUAAUUUGCGUACGAUUUUAAUUUAAUUUUGAACCUACUUCAGUACAAAAAUUUACGUAUAAUCUUACUACAAGUACUUAAGUCACCACAAUCAUCUACACUCACAUCUUGAAAAAGUGACAUUGAUAGCAAAUUCAUGAAGUACUCACAGCUAACGUCAUUUGAUGGUUGAAUGAACCCCUCAGCUACCCAUAGCUGAAUGAGUGUUCUCUUAUCAAACUCAAAACCUUUUGGAAACAAUGAACAAUAAGCAAAACAGUUUUCCAAAAAUGAAGGAAGAUGGUCAAAACUCAGUUUAAGGAUUGCAAAGAUUUUGUCCUUCUCUUGAUCUAUCUUUGAAAACCCAACUUCCUUAGAGGCUAUUACUAUGCGCACCCAGCAUAAUUACUGGUACAUCCAGCAUAACAGCAUAAUUCCCGUUUUGUCCUUUCCUAAAAUUGAUACAAAUUGUCAAUUCAUAUAAGAUUUACGGAUUGUCCAAUCUGUAAGUAGCCCAAAUAUUUUUUUAAUUUUUUUUUUAAAAAAAUAUGUUUUAUGAAUUAAUUUAAAAUUAAUGAUUCAUGCAAGAAUCAAACUUAUAACUUUCACGUUAUUAACACGACAUUCUAACCAAUCUCAAUAUUCUUGUCAACCCUUUUAAGUUAUUUUCUUUAUGUUAGUUUUUAACCGAUGUUGAAAGUGCCGAUGUUGAAUGUAUUAUCGUUAACAUCGGUUUUAAAAAAACUGAUGUUAACGUUAAUUUUACAACAUCGUUUAUUUAAAUAACCAAUGUUGAUAAUAAGAAUUACACCCAAAAAAAUGUAUUAAUGUUGAUAGUUAACAUCGGUUUUUUGGAAAAAUCGAUGUUAACGUAACUUAACAUCGGUUUUUUUAUAUAAAAUUGAUGUUAACGUAUGUGUUAAUGUUGACAGUUAACAUCGGUUUUUUGGAAAAACCAAUGUUAACGUAACUUAACAUCGGUUUUUUUACAGAAAACCGAUGUUAACGUAUGUGUUAAUGUUGACAGUUAACAUCGAUUUUCUGUAAAAAAAAAGAAAACCGAUUUUAACGUACGUUAACAUCAGUUUUUUCCAAAAACCCGAUGUUAACGUAUGUGUUAAUGUUGACAAUUAACAUCGGUUUUUCCAAAUAAUCGAUGUUGUUUUCAGGAUUUUUUUUUAAAUAUUCUCUCUGUUUUUACAAAAAAAACCAAAAUUUAACCUGUAAAUUUAAAAUUAGACCACACAGCAUAUAUGAUUUGCAUUUUGCUUUCAAAUAGGUUUUAGCAGAAAACUAGCUAGUAAACUAUUAAAAUGAAACAUCAAUUGUAAAAAAUGUAAUGCAAAGUACGGUAAACUAAUUAAGUA